RNAcentral lists this ribosomal RNA (117 nucleotides) under candidate division LCP-89 bacterium B3_LCP. Lineage: Bacteria; Pseudomonadati; candidate division LCP-89. The record is from RNAcentral.
UCCGGCGAUCAUAGCGGUAGGGAAACACCUCUUCCCAUUCCGAACAGAGAAGUUAAGCCUACCCACGCCGAUGGUACUGCACCGGAGACGGUGUGGGAGAGUAGGUCAUCGCCGGGG